UUUUUUAGUUACUGUGGCCCCUUGG
Molecule: non-coding RNA, 25 nt
Filed under: Rattus norvegicus (Norway rat)
Lineage: Eukaryota; Metazoa; Chordata; Mammalia; Rodentia; Muridae
Source: RNAcentral